Molecule: ribosomal RNA, 424 nt
Filed under: uncultured bacterium
Lineage: Bacteria
Description: bacterial SSU rRNA
Rfam family: Bacterial small subunit ribosomal RNA
Source: RNAcentral
UAAGGAAUAUUGGUCAAUGGAGGCAACUCUGAACCAGCCAUGCCGCGUGCAGGAAGAAGGCGCUACGCGUUGUAAACUGCUUUUGUACGGGAGAAAACUUUUGCUCGUGAGCAGAACUGAUAGUACCGUAAGAAUAAGCAUCGGCUAACUUCGUGCCAGCAGCCGCGGUAAGACGAAGGAUGCAAGCGUUAUCCGGAUUCAUUGGGUUUAAAGGGUGCGUAGGCGGCCCUGUAAGUCAGUGGUGAAAUCCCUCCGCUUAACGGAGGAACUGCCAUUGAUACUGCAGGGCUUGAGUACAGAUGAUGUUGGCGGAAUAUGACAUGUAGCGGUGAAAUGCAUAGAUAUGUCAUAGAACACCGAUUGCGAAGGCAGCUGACAAAACUGUAACUGACGCUGAGGCACGAAAGUGUGGGGAUCAAACAGG